UGGGGAAUAUUGCACAAUGGGCGCAAGCCUGAUGCAGCCAUGCCGCGUGUGUGAAGAAGGCCUCGGGUUGUAAAGCACUUUCAGCGAGGAGGAAGGUGGUGAGCUUAAUACGCUCAUCAAUUGACGUUACUCGCAGAAGAAGCACCGGCUAACUCCGUGCCAGCAGCCGCGGUAAUACGGAGGGUGCAAGCGUUAAUCGGAAUUACUGGGCGUAAAGCGCACGCAGGCGGUUUGUUAAGUCAGAUGUGAAAUCCCCGGGCUCAACCUGGGAACUGCAUUUGAAAACUGGCAAGCUAGAGUCUCGUAGAGGGGGGUAGAAUUCCAGGUGUAGCGGUGAAAUGCGUAGAGAUCUGGAGGAAUACCGGUGGCGAAGGCGGCCCCCCUGGANGAAGACUGACGCUCAGGUGCGAAAAGGCGUGGGGGCAGCAAAACAGGAUUAGAUACCCUGGUAGUCCACGCUGUAAAACGAUGUCGAUUUUGGAGG
Molecule: ribosomal RNA, 484 nt
Filed under: uncultured bacterium
Lineage: Bacteria
Description: partial 16S ribosomal RNA
Rfam family: Bacterial small subunit ribosomal RNA
Source: RNAcentral